RNAcentral lists this ribosomal RNA (508 nucleotides) under uncultured bacterium. Its description in RNAcentral is "partial 16S ribosomal RNA". It matches the Rfam family "Bacterial small subunit ribosomal RNA", at positions 28 to 507 of the family's 1533-position model. The record is from RNAcentral.
GACGAACGCUGGCGGCGUGCCUAAUACAUGCAAGUCGAACGCUUCUUUCCUCCCGAGUGCUUGCACUCGAUUGGAAAGAGGGGUGGCGGACGGGUGAGUAACACGUGGGUAACCUACCCAUCAGAGAGGGAUAACACUUGGAAACAGGAGCUAAUACCGCAUAACAGUUUAUGCCGCAUGGCAUUAGAGUGGAUGGCGCUGUCGGGUGUCGCUGAUGGCUGGACCCGCGGUGCAUUAGAUAGUUGGUGGGGUAACGGCUCACCAAGGCCAAGAUGCAUAGCCGACCUGAGAGGGUGAUCGCCCACCUUGGGACUGAGACACGGCCCAGAGUCCUACGGGAGGCAGCAGUAGGGAAUCUUCGGCAAUGGACGAAAGUCUGACCGAGCAACGCCACGUGAGUGAAGAAGGUGUUCGGAUCGUAAAACUCUGUUGUUAGAGAAGAACAAGGACGUUAGUAACUGAACGUCGCGUGACGGUAUCUAACCAGGAAGCCACGGCUAACUACGUG